GGGUACAUAGUGUAGUUGGUUAUCGCGCCCGCUUCGCAUUGCAGCUCUACCUCUAUGCUUAGGUAAGCAGUCACUGAAGACAGAGGUGCUGGGUUCAAUUCCCAGUGUAUCCA
This is a non-coding RNA of Mycena latifolia, 113 nucleotides long. Lineage: Eukaryota; Fungi; Basidiomycota; Agaricomycetes; Agaricales; Mycenaceae. The record is from the annotation of a GenBank genome assembly.